Centropristis striata (black sea bass) is the source of this 1116-nucleotide long non-coding RNA. RefSeq lists it as uncharacterized. The record is from RefSeq and is a predicted model, not a curated record. NCBI's taxonomy places the organism in Eukaryota, Metazoa, Chordata, Actinopteri, Perciformes, Serranidae. The transcript has 4 exons.
ACUAUGAGAGUGAUAAGAAAAUGUAAACGGAAUUUCUUUUAGUGUUUUUUUUGUGUGUGUAUUUCCCCUAUUUUUUCUACUGCUAGACCUUUAAGAGGAUGGGGGAACGUGGCGACGGAGCUCCAGUGUGGGUGUGCCGGAGAAAAGCUGCAGAGAGCUCUCGAGUUUCACCUGUAGAGCCAGAUGACAAAUUAAGACUCCUUCUACGACUCGCCACAAGGAACUCCUCAAUUGCACUCAAACACAUACACAUAUAUACGCACUUACAAACGCACACACAUACACACAAACCGGCAACCCAUCUGCCCUUCUCUCUUUCUCCCUCACACACACAAACUUGCUCACGCAUACACACUAACUGUCACACACUCUGAGGAGGGCAGUGUGAACAGAGUGCUGUGUUGAGUGAGUGAAUGUGUUGUAGUGAGCAACAGAGGACGGACUACGUCAAAAGAAGAAGUUGAGUGUGACCUAAAGACUUUGUCCAGGAGUUUGUUUGUUUUUUUGGCUGCUGUAUUCUUUUUUUUUUUUACCACUAAAGAAGACACAACCAGGAUGCUACAAAUUUGAAGACUGCAGAGAUUCUGGCGAUCACCACACUUCACCACACGCUCUUCUGUACUGUUUGUCAUUGAAUGUUGAGGAGCCUUCAUGGGGACCAGAUUUGGGCAGUGUAAAACUGCUUUGGCCAGGUGGACCUGUCCUCACACAGAACCUGCAUAUGGUGCCAGUGCAAAGUCUACUAGGCAUAUCUAAACCAAAGAAUCGUUAAAAGGUUAAAAGAAUUGCAUCCUGAAGAGAGGGCAUGGUGUGCUCCUAGCCACUUGUGAAAAUGCCCAAGAAAGACGCUAAGAAGGACGCAAAGAAGGGUGGAAAACCUGAACCAGAGAAAAAAAAAGAGGAGGAAAAGAAAGGGAAGGAUGACAAAAAGGGAGGAAAAGAUGACAAGAAAUCCAGCAAGGAUGAUAAGAAAGGUGGAAAGGAUGAUAAGAAAGGUGGGAAAGAUGAUAAGAAAGGAGGGAAGAAGGACCCACCCAAGGGUAAAGACGAUGGAAAGAAAGGAAAAGACAAAGGGAAGGGUAAGAAAGUGGAGUCUGAGGAAGAGCUCCUAAGUGA